Molecule: ribosomal RNA, 468 nt
Filed under: uncultured bacterium
Lineage: Bacteria
Description: partial 16S ribosomal RNA
Rfam family: Bacterial small subunit ribosomal RNA
Source: RNAcentral
GACGAACGCUGGCGGCGUGCUUAACACAUGCAAGUCGAACGGAAAGGCCCUGCUUUUGUGGGGUGCUCGAGUGGCGAACGUGUGAGUAACACGUGAGUAACCUGCCCUUGACUUUGGGAUAACUUCAGGAAACUGGGGCUAAUACCGGAUAGGAGCUCCUGCUGCAUGGUGGGGGUUGGAAAGUUUCGGCGGUUGGGGAUGGACUCGCGGCUUAUCAGCUUGUUGGUGGGGUAGUGGCUUACCAAGGCUUUGACGGGUAGCCGGCCUGAGAGGGUGACCGGCCAGAGUGGGACUGAGAUAUGGACCAAAAUCCUAAGGGAGGCAGAAGUGGGGAAUAUUGGAAAAUGGGCGGAAGCCGGAUGCAGCAACGCGGCGUGCGGGAUGACGGGCUGAGGGGUGUAAACCGCUUACGCCUGUGACGAAGCGUGAGUGACGGUAAUGGGUAAAGAAGCACCGGCUAACUACGUG